Molecule: ribosomal RNA, 383 nt
Filed under: Staphylococcus aureus
Lineage: Bacteria; Bacillati; Bacillota; Bacilli; Caryophanales; Staphylococcaceae
Description: partial 23S ribosomal RNA
Rfam family: Bacterial large subunit ribosomal RNA
Source: RNAcentral
CACAGGUCUCUGCUAAACCGUAAGGUGAUGUAUAGGGGCUGACGCCUGCCCGGUGCUGGAAGGUUAAGAGGAGUGGUUAGCUUCUGCGAAGCUACGAAUCGAAGCCCCAGUAAACGGCGGCCGUAACUAUAACGGUCCUAAGGUAGCGAAAUUCCUUGUCGGGUAAGUUCCGACCCGCACGAAAGGCGUAACGAUUUGGGCACUGUCUCAACGAGAGACUCGGUGAAAUCAUAGUACCUGUGAAGAUGCAGGUUACCCGCGACAGGACGGAAAGACCCCGUGGAGCUUUACUGUAGCCUGAUAUUGAAAUUCGGCACAGCUUGUACAGGAUAGGUAGGAGCCUUUGAAACGUGAGCGCUAGCUUACGUGGAGGCGCUGGUGGG